Molecule: transfer RNA, 66 nt
Filed under: Cheumatopsyche sp. XG-2022
Lineage: Eukaryota; Metazoa; Arthropoda; Insecta; Trichoptera; Hydropsychidae
Description: tRNA-Ile
Source: RNAcentral
UAUAAAGUGCCUGAUAAAAGGAUUAUUCUGAUAGAAUAAAUAAUAUAAUUUAAAUUAUCUUUAUAA